RNAcentral lists this transfer RNA (69 nucleotides) under Decemunciger sp. AB-2017. RNAcentral's name for it is "tRNA-Ser". Lineage: Eukaryota; Metazoa; Annelida; Polychaeta; Terebellida; Ampharetidae. The record is from RNAcentral.
UAAAGUAGCUAGGCAGGGUCUAAGCCUUCUAAGCUUAAGACCGAAGGGCUCGCUUCCCUUUCGCUUUUA